This 491-nucleotide ribosomal RNA is filed under the name uncultured bacterium. Its description in RNAcentral is "partial 16S ribosomal RNA". It matches the Rfam family "Bacterial small subunit ribosomal RNA", at positions 29 to 507 of the family's 1533-position model. The record is from RNAcentral.
UUGAACGCUGGCGGCAUGCUUUACACAUGCAAGUCGAACGGUAACAGGCCUUCGGGUGCUGACGAGUGGCGAACGGGUGAGUAAUGCAUCGGAACGUGCCCAGAGGUGGGGGAUAACGCAGCGAAAGCUGUGCUAAUACCGCAUGUGAUCUGAGGAUGAAAGCGGGGGACCAAGCAGCAAUGUUUGGCCUCGCGCCUCUGGAGCGGCCGAUGUCAGAUUAGGUAGUUGGUGGGGUAAAGGCCUACCAAGCCGACGAUCUGUAGCUGGUCUGAGAGGACGACCAGCCACACUGGGACUGAGACACGGCCCAGACUCCUACGGGAGGCAGCAGUGGGGAAUUUUGGACAAUGGGCGCAAGCCUGAUCCAGCAAUGCCGCGUGCGGGAAGAAGGCCUUCGGGUUGUAAACCGCUUUUGUACGGAACGAAAAGGCUCUGGCUAAUACCUGGGGCUGAUGACGGUACCGGAAGAAUAAGCACCGGCUAACUACGUG